GUUUGUUGGUUGUGCUGUGAGGAAGAAGGUGUUAGUACUGCAAGGAGCGUCGUAGGAAGCUGAAGAAGGAUCUUUCAAGCAAGUCAAGGAAGAGGUAUCACAUUGGCUGUGUGGGUGUUUGCCAUGUGGAACGCAGAUUCUUACUAGACAGAACCCCAAAUGAGAAAAAUCUCCAAGCUAUUACCUAAUAAAGUAAAAAGUUAGAAAGGAAUACACCAGAACAGUGAAUGGAAAAAAUCAGAAGCAUGGUUUAAUUCAUCUUUUCUUCAGUGGAAGAGACUUGAAUUGUAAUGUCAGGAUAGAGGCAUGGGGAAGAAGAAUCAGUUAAGGAUAAGAGAAUGAAGUCAUAUUUGCCUAACUCAGAAACCUCAUGUUGAAGAGCUCACAUCAAGGGGAGACAAGUCAUUCCCCUGCUGCACCGUUGGGUCCCUCCCAUGGAAGACAGGUCUCCAUUAACUUCUCCAGCGUGGAUCCAUCUCAAGAGCUACAGCUCUCCACGAACUGCUGCGGUGUGGAUCACUCUUCCAUAGGGUGCAGUCUUUCAAGGACAGGCUGCUCCAUUAGGGGAGCAGAUCCCCUCUCUCCUGUGGGCUCACAACCUCCUCCAGGUAUCCAGUUGCUCCAUCGUCAGCUCCUCCUCCAUGGGCUGGGGGUGAAUCUCUGCAUCCCCACGGACCUCCUCUGCCUGCAGGGGCACAGCUGCUUCACCAUGGUCUGCACCACAAGCUGCAGAGGGAUCUCAGCUCCAGGGGCUGGGGCACCUCCUUUCCCCCUUUUUCCACUGACCUUUGUGCCUGCAUGGCUGUUCUUUUCCCAUGUUCUCUCUCUGCUCUUCUCUAGUCACAAUUACAACUGCACAAUCACUCUUUGUUUAGAUUUCUUCUAAAAUGUGUUAUCACAGAGGUAUUGCCACCAUUUCUAAUUGACAUUUCUGUCUAUGGAACCACCAGGGAUUGGCUCUGCUGGACACUGAGGAAGCUUCUAGUAAUUUCUCAUUGGAGCCAUCGCUGUAACUGCCCCGUUACCAAAACCCAAAGCCACGCAAACCCAAUACAUCAGGAUAUAAAGUCACUUUAAUAAAUGACAUAUGUUUUGGAACUUGGGUGGUAAUGUCACCUUUAAUGAAAUACAAAUGCUACUGAAAGUACAUACUGUAAUCAUAGAAUCCUUUUCUUACGGUUUGGUCUGACUCAACUGAAGCAUCAAAGUCAAGACAAUUUGACAGUAACCAGAUACCAGUUUAUAGCCACCAUUCAUGAAAUGAUUGACUUGGAAUUUCCAGGUGAAGGAUUCUGUGUCCAGGUUUCAUUUAUGAUUAUCUUGAUGGUUGGAUAAAAAAAGUGGUGUCAAUCUCUCUGGAAUUUAUUCACUUCCAUACUUAGAUAAAUCUUCAUAUACUAGAUGUCUGGAACUAAUGCGAUUGCCCUGUAAACUCAAAAUUUAUACUUCUGUCUAGUAAUCACAAACGAUAAUAUUACAAGGAAAAAAUCUAAAAGAGAUGUUAAAAAUCUUCUCUUCAAUGCAGUUCCUCUAAACACUCAAGGGGUAAACUCAAAAUUUAUACUUCUGUCUAGUAAUCACAAACGAUAAUAUUACAGGGAAAAAAUCUAAAAGAUGUUAAAAAUCUUCUCUUCAAUACAGUUCCUCUAAACACUCAAGGGAAAGAUUAUUAUUUUAAUUUUCUGGGAAUACAGUAUAAUCUAGAAAUCAUUUUUUAGUCAGUCUCUUGGCUCACAUUAGAUGUAGAACAAAUGUUAUUUUAAACAUAAUCUGCGACACUUAAUUGCAAGUCCCUGUUCUGCCAGAUAUUUAACCUUUUUUACAUUUAUUAACAUUGUUCCUGAGAGGUCUAUACAACCUGCAAUCUCUCCAUUAUGCCAUUAUCUAAAAGGAAAUCAGUAACACAAGUUUUGAUUAUUUUCUUUUAAAUAUUAUGAAAUAUUUUGCAAGAAUAUAGUGAAGCAAAUGGGGAAUAUUACUUAACAAUUCUGAUACAUUUUGAAAAAGGAUAUGUUAAAGAAAAUGAGCUUGUAAAGAAUUCUGUUUUGAUGGGAUGUCAUAAUAACAUUUCUUAAGUAGUUCUUUCUCUUUCUCUCUGUUCAGUUGUACUUUAUUUUUAAUUAAUUAGAAGGGAGAAAAUUCUACCAGAGCUUUAAUAUUAAAAUUAAGUAUUUAUAAUCUGGUAAUGUCCUCAGGCAGAUCCAUCUGUAGGUCCAAUUACCUUGUACUUAAAUAAUACGUCCUGAAAAAUAUGGAUGCAGGAUUUAAUUUAUACAUACCAAAAAACAUUCAUUGAGCCCAAAAGGAUACUAAUAAAUCUCAUCUUUCUGAGUGUGGGACUAAUGAUUGUCUUAUUGAUUUCUACUUAACAGAAUCAAUCAUACUUUCAAGAGAUUCCCCAACAUUCCUUUUGGAUGCAUAGAUAAAUUCAGGAAUCCUGACUGUGUAGUUAAACUGUGUAUAUCAAUACCUUUUCUUUAAAGUGAUGAUACUAAAAAUACUGAAAGGCCUCUGGACUGCUGACAUUACAUUUUUUUUUAAGAAUAUACUGCAAUACAAGGACUUCUGUGGAACAGAAGCUCAGAUCAAGUUGGUCAGAUCAAAUCAAAAUGAAAAGAGUAUUAGAAGUCCUCACUGCUCACUGUUUUAUCUCAGAGGUAGGUCUUUUCUUUCACCUCACUCUUGCUCUGCGUACAGCAAUGUUUAGUGUCUUGCUGAGUAAUGAAUAAUUCCAAGCAGUGCACUGGAGACCUCUGGAAACUGCCUGUGUAUUGGCUCUGUCUCUUUAUAGUGUGUCUGCUUCCCUUCUUGGUGUGGAGACUUCUGAGUCCUCCCAUUCUGCUUCCUUCCCUCAGGAGAGGGCUGCUGCUCCAAAAAACUGUGUAUUGAUCCAAUAUAUGGCAGUCAGCAGUUAGCAAGUGCAUGACCUCACUCCCUCUGGCUGAGUUGCACCUUCCAGCAAAACACAGUUAUGGCACAAGAGAAAACACAACAAACAAAAGAUAUGUUAUUUUUCAUUCUUAAUGUGAGAUAAUUUGUGUGUAUAUCAAAAUUUUUCAGUGCAUGCAUUAAAUUUGUCACCAAUGGAAAUUUUCUGUCUCCUGACAAGACCAUCUCUUUCCUCACACCUGAAAUUGAGAAGCACAAACACUGUUUAAAAAGAACUGAUCACUGUGCUUGCAUUGAAAGUAUUCUUAAUGUAACAUAAAAUCUGAUCAUAAUAAUAGGAUAUGAAGUUAGAAUAGACGAUUAUUUUAAAAUUGUAACUUGGAAAAAAGAUUCUUUAACUUCACUUUUCAAAAGCCCCAGCUUUUUAAAAUAUAAAAAAGUCACUUGUGUUUCCUUGAGGAAAUGAAAGCCUAGUCAGAGUUUAACACAGAAUUUUCUGUGUCAAGGCCCUGGAGGCAGCACCAGGCCUGGCUGCCCCUCCAAACCCCUUGCAUCUCCCUCCACCCGGUCCAAAGCCUAGUGUCCCAUGUCACCCCCCAGAAAUAUCAGCCCUGCCCCAGCAAUGCCACAACAGGGCUGUCUCCAGCUUCCCUCUGCCCUGUCCUGCCCAGUUGAGCCAGGCUCUCCUGCAGAUCCCAGCCCCGCCUUCACACAUCCCCUGGGCUGUGCGAGGUGCCCAAAGGUGGGGCUGCUCCAUUGCCUCACAGCUGUCCUGCAGCUGGGAAGGGCUGGACUGUCACAGACAUCUUUUGUGAAAAAUCCUUUCUUGGGAUUUUUCUCCCUUCUGAGAAGCUGUGGCCUCAGCAACAAAAUGUAAACAAUGGUUAUCUGCUGCUGUGGAAUGCAACAGGUGGAUCCGUGAUUGGUCUCGGAUGGAUGUUUGGAUUUACUGACCAUUCACAGCAGAGCUGUUCUUGCUUUCUGCUGGGACACAGAUCUUUGUUAUUCAUUCUUUUCUGUUUUAGCUUAGCUAGCUUCUGAGAACUUUCCUUCUAUUCUUUUUGGUGUAGUUAUAAUGUAAUGUGUAUAUCAUAAAAUAAUAAAUCAAGCCUUCUGAACAUGAGGUCAACAUU
Long non-coding RNA from Zonotrichia leucophrys gambelii, 4022 nucleotides. RefSeq lists it as uncharacterized. The record is from RefSeq and is a predicted model, not a curated record. The transcript is spliced from 5 exons. NCBI's taxonomy places the organism in Eukaryota, Metazoa, Chordata, Aves, Passeriformes, Passerellidae.